ACGAACGCUGGCGGCGUGCUUAACACAUGCAAGUCGAACGAUGAAGCCCUUCGGGGUGGAUUAGUGGCGAACGGGUGAGUAACACGUGGGCAAUCUGCCCUGCACUCUGGGACAAGCCCUGGAAACGGGGUCUAAUACCGGAUGACACCCCCUCUCGCAUGGGAGGGGGUUGAAAGCUCCGGCGGUGCAGGAUGAGCCCGCGGCCUAUCAGCUUGUUGGUGAGGUAGAAGCUCACCAAGGCGACGACGGGUAGCCG
This 256-nucleotide ribosomal RNA is filed under the name Streptomyces sp. ISO292_OTU1134. Its description in RNAcentral is "partial 16S ribosomal RNA". It matches the Rfam family "Bacterial small subunit ribosomal RNA", at positions 29 to 289 of the family's 1533-position model. The record is from RNAcentral. RNAcentral also lists the same sequence under 6 other names. Lineage: Bacteria; Bacillati; Actinomycetota; Actinomycetes; Kitasatosporales; Streptomycetaceae.